UACGGGGGGGGCAAGCGUUGUUCGGAAUUACUGGGCGUAAAGGGCUCGUAGGCGGCCAACUAAGUCGGAUGUGAAAUCCCCAGGCUUAACCUGGGAACUGCAUCCGAUACUGGAUGGCUUGAAUUCGGGAGAGGGAUGCAGAAUUCCAGGUGUAGCGGUGAAAUGCGUAGAUAUCUGGAGGAAUACCGGUGGCGAAGGCGGCAUCCUGGACCGGUAUUGACGCUGAGGCGCGAAAGCGUGGGGAGCGAACAGG
RNAcentral lists this ribosomal RNA (253 nucleotides) under uncultured bacterium. RNAcentral describes it as "partial 16S ribosomal RNA". It matches the Rfam family "Bacterial small subunit ribosomal RNA", at positions 524 to 776 of the family's 1533-position model. The record is from RNAcentral.